AGUGAUAGCCGUGGUAAGGCCCAAGCGCAUAUAAGAGAACUUGAGGAAGAAGUGAAGCUCCUCAAGAACCUUUCGCACCCCAAUAUUGUGAGGUACCUCGGGACUGUCCGUGAGGAAGACACACUGAAUAUCCUGCUGGAGUUUGUUCCUGGAGGGUCUAUCCAGUCGCUUCUUGGAAAACUCGGUUCAUUCCCGGAGGCAGUCAUUAGGAAGUAUACUAGGCAGAUUUUGCAAGGGUUGGAAUAUCUGCAUAGCAAUGCAAUAAUACAUAGAGACAUUAAGGGUGCAAACAUUCUUGUUGAUAACAGAGGCUGCAUUAAGCUUGCCGAUUUUGGGGCAUCUAAGCAAGUUGCCAAGUUGUGUGAGUUUGGUUCCAAGCAGGCUUAUGGUAAAGUUCUCUGCAGGUAUUUGCAU
This 414-nucleotide ribosomal RNA is filed under the name Triticum aestivum (bread wheat). RNAcentral's name for it is "partial small subunit ribosomal RNA". The record is from RNAcentral. Lineage: Eukaryota; Viridiplantae; Streptophyta; Magnoliopsida; Poales; Poaceae.